CGGGGUGAGUAAUGUCUGGGAAACUGCCUGAUGGAGGGGGAUAACUGCUGGAAACGGUAGCUAAUACCGCAUAACGUCGCAAGACCAAAGAGGGGGACCUUCGGGCCUCCUGCCAUCGGAUGUGCCCAGAUGGGAUUAGCUAGUAGGUGGGGUAACGGCUCACCUAGGCGACGAUCCCUAGCUGGUCUGAGAGGAUGACCAGCCACACUGGAACUGAGACACGGUCCAG
Molecule: ribosomal RNA, 229 nt
Filed under: uncultured bacterium
Lineage: Bacteria
Description: partial 16S ribosomal RNA
Rfam family: Bacterial small subunit ribosomal RNA
Source: RNAcentral